AGAGUUUGAUCAUGGCUCAGAACGAACGCUGGCGGCAGGCCUCAAACAUGCAAGUCUAGGGGACGUAGCAAUACGUCACCGGCGGACGGGUGCGUAACACGUGGGAACAUACCUUUCGGUACGAACAACUGAGGGAAACUUCAGCUAAUACCGUAUACGCCCGUAAGGGGAAAGAAUUUCGCCGAAAGAUUGGCCCGCGUUCGAUUAGCUAGUUGGUGAGGUAAUGGCUCACCAAGGCUCCGAUCGAUAGCUGUUCUGAGAGGAAGAUCAGCCACACUGGGACUGAGACACGGCCCAGACUCCUACGGGAGGCAGCAGUUGGGAAUCUUGGACAAUGGGGGAAACCCUGAUCCAGCCAUGCCGCGUGAGUGAUGAAGGCCUUCGGGUUGUAAAGCUCUUUUCCCGGGAAGAUAAUGACUGUACCGGGAGAAUAAGCUCCGGCUAACUUCGUGCCAGCAGCCGCGGUAAUACGAAGGGGCUAGCGUUGUUCGGAAUUACUGGGCGUAAAGCGCGCGCAGGCGGCUUCUCAAGUCAGUGGUGAAAGCCCGGAGCUCAACUCCGGAAAUGCCAUUGAAACUGUGAAGCUUGAGGACGAGAGAGGUGAGUGGAAUUCCCAGUGUAGAGGUGAAAUUCGUAGAUAUUGGGAAGAACACCGGUGGCGAAGGCGGCUCACUGGCUCGUUUCUGACGCUCAGGCGCGACAGCGUGGGGAUCAAACAGGAUUAGAUACCCUAGUAGUCC
This 740-nucleotide ribosomal RNA is filed under the name uncultured bacterium. RNAcentral describes it as "bacterial SSU rRNA". It matches the Rfam family "Bacterial small subunit ribosomal RNA", at positions 8 to 796 of the family's 1533-position model. The record is from RNAcentral.